GAUGAACGCUGGCGGCGUGCCUAAUACAUGCAAGUCGAGCGAACAGACGAGGAGCUUGCUCCUCUGACGUUAGCGGCGGACGGGUGAGUAACACGUGGAUAACCUACCUAUAAGACUGGGAUAACUUCGGGAAACCGGAGCUAAUACCGGAUAAUAUAUUGAACCGCAUGGUUCAAUAGUGAAAGACGGUUUUGCUGUCACUUAUAGAUGGAUCCGCGCCGCAUUAGCUAGUUGGUAAGGUAACGGCUUACCAAGGCAACGAUGCGUAGCCGACCUGAGAGGGUGACCGGCCACACUGGAACUGAGACACGGUCCAGACUCCUACGGGAGGCAGCAGUAGGGAAUCUUCCGCAAUGGGCGAAAGCCUGACGGAGCAACGCCGCGUGGGUGAUGAAGGUCUUCGGAUCGUAAAACUCUGUUAUUAGGGAAGAACAAAUGUGUAAGUAACUAUGCACGUCUUGACGGUACCUAAUCAGAAAGCCACGGCUAACUACGUG
This 497-nucleotide ribosomal RNA is filed under the name uncultured bacterium. Its description in RNAcentral is "partial 16S ribosomal RNA". It matches the Rfam family "Bacterial small subunit ribosomal RNA", at positions 28 to 507 of the family's 1533-position model. The record is from RNAcentral.